This 279-nucleotide ribosomal RNA is filed under the name uncultured bacterium. RNAcentral's name for it is "partial 16S ribosomal RNA". It matches the Rfam family "Bacterial small subunit ribosomal RNA", at positions 30 to 320 of the family's 1533-position model. The record is from RNAcentral.
AUUGAACGCUGGCGGCAGGCCUAACACAUGCAAGUCGAGCGGGGUUUUCGGACCUAGCGGCGGACGGGGUGAGUAAUGCGUAGGAAGCUACCCGAUAGAGGGGGAUACCAGUUGGAAACGACUGUUAAUACCGCAUAAUGUCUACGGACCAAAGUGUGGGACCUUCGGGCCACAUGCUAUCGGAUGCGCCUACGUGGGAUUAGCUAGUUGGUGAGGUAAUGGCUCACCAAGGCGACGAUCCGUAACUGGUCUGAGAGGAUGAUCAGUCACACUGGAACU